CACGGGGUUGCGAGCGUUGUCCGGAAUUACUAGGCGUAAAGGGCAGGCAGGCGGAUCCAUAAGUUUAUCGUUUAAGGCGUCGGCUUAACCGGCGUAGGGCGGUAGAUACUGUGGAUCUGGAAUGCGGUUGGGGAAGACAGAAUUCCUGGUGUAGCGGUGGAAUGCGCAGAGAUCAGGAGGAAUACCGAAGGCGAAGGCAGUCUUCCAAGCCGUUAUUGACGCUCAACUGCGAAGGUGUGGGUAUCAAACAGGAUUAGAUAUCCGCGUAGUCCCU
This 274-nucleotide ribosomal RNA is filed under the name uncultured prokaryote. RNAcentral describes it as "partial 16S ribosomal RNA". It matches the Rfam family "Bacterial small subunit ribosomal RNA", at positions 524 to 798 of the family's 1533-position model. The record is from RNAcentral.